AUAGAUUACGACCUUCUUGAUGUUUUGCUUCAACUUUUAUAAAAAGUCGAAAUAAAGGAAGUUGAUGAUUUGGUAAUUUGAAUAAGGAGUAACUUUUAUAAUUCCUUUCAAACGAAGAUAGCUCAUUUCAUGUCCACAAUCCCACCAACUGUUCAUCUGCAUGCGUAAUCUGUGAAUUGUUCAUUUAAAUUUCCAACUUUUCUUUUUCUUCGGAAACAAACAGACAAGUCGCUUACGUUUAGGAAAGUGGAAAAAAGUAUUCUUUGAAGGCAACCUUUGUUGUUCGCAUCUAGUCUUAUCUCCCUGAAAUUGCAGUGGAGUAGACUGAGGCACUAGUUCCUAUACCUCUAAAGAUGCAGUAAAAGAGAAUGAGGCUACUUGAAGAAGAAGAGUACCAAGGUCCAGCACGACCGGGCCAAAUCGGGCAUUUUUAAGUCUUUGCUCCGUCCCUAUUACACGAUAACGAGCAAAGAGGGGCAGCUGUAAUACCCGAUUUUGGCCCGGGUAAAAGGCCCAAAAUACAAAUGUGUCCGUAAGACCCAAAAUGAACCGAGGCCCGAAUACAACGGCCCAAAAUAGAUGAAAAACCCUAGGGUUUCUAAACUUCGGUCGCCGCAACUCCAAUCUUCCACACAGGCCGAAUCUCCACGCAAUCUUCACCUGCACGAUAAGGAAAGAAACAAAAUGGAAAGAAAAUCAAAAGAUUGAAAAUCAAAUCCAACAGAUUUACUUUCUAUGUUGUUAUUUUAUUAUAAAAUAGCCAUUGAAAUAUUGUAACGGGACCGAUUAAAAAAUCAAUAAAAAAACAAUUACCUUUACAGCAAAAACACAGUUAGUUCAAUACCGAAAGAGCAUAAAUCGUUCCAAGGUUGAUAUUUAUUUCUUUAUCUUUGUUAAUCUACAGUUUUUAUUAUUAUAUGUUUUUUUAUCUAUGUGCUAAGAAAAUAAAUAGAAAGAAAAGGAAAGAAACGACCUGAGUGGUAUCCAGAACCGCCGUGAACGGUCGGAAACCGAAAGGUUUCUCGGAGAUUUGAGGCUCUUACAGCAAUGUUUUGUGGGUUUCGGGUCCAGAUCUAGGUUUAGGGGCUUCAAAGGGAUAGAAUAGAAGAUUUUCUCCUUUUUCGGCCACCGCAGACGGCGGUGCCGACGCCGGAGAUCGGCGGCCGGUGCGGUGGCCGGUGACUGGACCUAGGCCGGACGAUUGGAGAAGGAGAGCUUUUUUUAAAGGUUCUUUUUUUU
Molecule: long non-coding RNA, 1239 nt
Filed under: Gossypium raimondii (Peruvian cotton)
Lineage: Eukaryota; Viridiplantae; Streptophyta; Magnoliopsida; Malvales; Malvaceae
Description: long non-coding RNA (GRAI_LNC004778)
Source: RNAcentral